AUCAGACUAAGACAUAUCCUUGUGACUCAUUUGAUCUACCGUAGCGUCUUUUAGGGCCAUGUGUUCUGCACGAUUGGUAAUGAAUCUCAAUAUCGAACCAAGAUGCCAAUGAGAAGUAUUUAAUUAUGUAUGAGAUCUGCAAUUAGAGAGCCAUGUAAGAUAGAUAUCAUGAAAAAUAUUUGGAUGUUUUGAUUUGAUACAAAGAAAAAUCUUCAACCUAUCAACUAAUUUAACAUCAUCUGAAAACAUUAUCACUAAUAAAGGCCCAACAACAUUAACAGUUCACAAUGCCGUUUGUUGCAUGAACAAAAACAUAAUGGAUGAAAAGCUACAUGAAACUAUGAUUUAAAUAUGGGAUUCAAAGGGCUCAAUUAUUUUCUCUUUCAAUAUACUUUUUGGCUUGUUUUUUUACCUUAACCAUGGAGUCUUCAAAGUAAAAGUCUCUCAAUUUUAUAUCCCGAAAAAAAGUGCCUGGAGAGACUAAUCUUUCCAUCCUUAAGCAGAAUAUAGGUGUGGGAUCUAAACAACUAAUAAUAAUACAAUGAAUCAGGUUUUAAUGAUCUAGACAAUCAAGAGCAUAACAUAAAACUAAAGUUAAUGUUGAAUCACUUACCAUGUAUUCGAAAAUAAUAUAUAUAUAUCUGAUAAGGUGUUGAACAUGGUUACGGAGCAGAGGGAGGCAUAAGAAUGGGAAAACAACAAUGUUAACAUUUGAAUCACCUGUCGUAGAUCCAAAAUUAAAAAACAUCAACUUGACUUACUUUUAUCUCCAAAACAAACAAUGCAAGAAUUGGAAAAGAACUACAACAAUAUUAAAAAGACAAUUAGUAAACUAAUUAGAUAAAUAGAACUCAAUUAACAUACUAACCCCAACUGUGUUGAAUUUGAGCCGAGCUUCCUAUGGCGCACAAACUUAAAGUGAUUGAUACCAUUCCUUAGAUUUUAAUACAUUGAGUACCAAGAUACCAUGAAGAUCUCUUUGAGAGCUUAAUGCUCAUCGAGCAUGAGUACAUAUGGAAUAGGCUCACCAUUAAAAUAAAUUAAAAUUUACAAAAUCAUAAUGAUCUCAUAUAUAAUCUAAGUGAAAAAGAAAAGAUAUACAUAUAAAGGACUGCAACGUACACCUUUAACACAUUACUUUCAUCCCAAG
RNAcentral lists this long non-coding RNA (1150 nucleotides) under Capsicum annuum. Its description in RNAcentral is "long non-coding RNA (CANN_LNC019815)". The record is from RNAcentral. Lineage: Eukaryota; Viridiplantae; Streptophyta; Magnoliopsida; Solanales; Solanaceae.